GUUGUAAGGUUAAGAAAUUAAGCGUACACGGUGGAUGCCUAGGCAAUCAGAGGCGAAGAAGGACGUGUUAAUCUGCGAAAAGCGACGGUAAGCUGAUAAAAAGCGUAAUAGCCGUCGAUGUCCGAAUGGGGAAACCCAGUGUGGGUAACUACACUAUCAUCUAAUGAAUCCAUAGUUAGAUGAGGCGAACCGGGAGAACUGAAACAUCUAAGUACCCCGAGGAAAAGAAAUCAACCGAGAUUCCCUAAGUAGCGGCGAGCGAAAGGGGAGUAGCCCAAGCGGGUAGCAUAAAGUAUUAGUGGAAGCGUCUGGAAAGUCGCACGAUAGAGGGUGAAAGUCCCGUACACGAAGGUGCGUUAUGUGGAAGCUUAUAGAGUAGGGCGGGACACGUGAUAUCCUGUCUGAAGAAGGGGGGACCAUCCUCCAAGGCUAAAUACUCCUGAUUGACCGAUAGUGAACCAGUACCGUGAGGGAAAGGCGAAAAGAACCCCGGGAGGGGAGUGAAAUAGACCCUGAAACCGUGUACGUACAAUCAGUGGGAGCUGUUACCGUUGGGUAAUAGUGACUGCGUACCUUUUGUAUAAUGGGUCAGCGACUUAUAUUCUGUAGCGAGGUUAACCGAAUAGGGGAGCCGAAGGGAAACCGAGUAUUAACUGUGCGUUAAGUUGCAGGGUAUAGACCCGAAACCCGGUGAUCUAGCCAUGGGCAGGUUGAAGGUUGGUUAACACUAACUGGAGGACCGAACCGACUAAUGUUGAAAAAUUAGCGGAUGACCUGUGGCUGGGGGUGAAAGGCCAAUCAAACCGGGAGAUAGCUGGUUCUCCCCGAAAGCUAUUUAGGUAGCGCCUCAUGAAUGACUGUUGGGGGUAGAGCACUGUUUCGGCUAGGGGGCCAUCCCGGCUUACCAACCCGAUGCAAACUCCGAAUACUGACAAGUUGAAUCAUGGGAGACACACGGCGGG
Molecule: ribosomal RNA, 962 nt
Filed under: Gilliamella apicola
Lineage: Bacteria; Pseudomonadati; Pseudomonadota; Gammaproteobacteria; Orbales; Orbaceae
Also listed under: 1 other name
Description: bacterial LSU rRNA
Rfam family: Bacterial large subunit ribosomal RNA
Source: RNAcentral